GGCAUCCUUGUCCUCGCGGUGGCGGCCGGCCACAGGCUCUCCCCUCCCCCACCGGGCUGGGAACCCUUUCAUGGGACCGGGCCGCGCCUGUCCCGCCGCCCGCGGCCCCCUUGUCUCCCAAAGGAAUGAGAAACACCAGAGAUCAGCAUCAGAAAAUGGAUGAUACACUUGUGGAACAGUAAAGAUGGACAUCCAGUUAGGAAGGUCAUUCUGCCGUCUUCUCUCAGAGCUGAAAAGAAGCUUCAGCAUUCGAGUCCAGCAGAAAAUUCUGCUCAAGCAUGUACAGUUCUUCAAAUCUACUCUUAACUCCUGUCAUCCAUCGCCAAAAUGGAAGUAAGGUACAUAUUUUCUAUUGCAGUAUCUAACUUCUGCCUCUCAAUGUGAAAGAUAUUUAUUGUCACAUUAUCUUAAAUUUGAGAUGUUGGGCAACCUGUCUUUUCAUUUGAGUGUAAGUUAAUAUUCUCAAAAAACAUAUCUCGGCUUAUGUAUCACAUGACAGACCCAUCAAAAAUCUGUAUAAAUUAGCUGAGUUCAAAACCCAUGUAGAGAACCUAACUGAAGCACAGUGAACAUCCUUUCACCCUCAUAAAACAGUGGGUUGUGUAGGCUAGUGUGCCCUCAAAAGUUCAUUAUUCUGUAAAAGUUUGGGGGUUUUUUACUGUCUCUGCAGAUUUAAGCAUUAUUUAUUAUUUCAGUACUUUGUUCUGGUACUCUGUUGCUUUUUUGUGAUCAUACAAAUAAAGAAAGUCUGAAGUAGCUGGAAGACUCCAGUUUGUCUUCAUUCUGUGCUGCUGGUGAAGGCUAUAACAUUCACAUGCCUCGUAGGAAAAUAUA
Grus americana (Whooping crane) is the source of this 834-nucleotide long non-coding RNA. RefSeq lists it as uncharacterized. Lineage: Eukaryota; Metazoa; Chordata; Aves; Gruiformes; Gruidae. The record is from RefSeq and is a predicted model, not a curated record. The transcript has 3 exons.